Molecule: long non-coding RNA, 1411 nt
Filed under: Scleropages formosus (Asian bonytongue)
Lineage: Eukaryota; Metazoa; Chordata; Actinopteri; Osteoglossiformes; Osteoglossidae
Description: lncRNA (ENSSFOG00015032999.1)
Source: RNAcentral
CUCUUUGGAAGCACGGCGGCAGCAACGUGGAGAUUGUGCGCAGACUGAAUCAGGUCAUUCGCCACAUCGGCUGCCUGCCAUUGACAGAAGGCUGAUCUUUCCAGGUUCCUACUCCACGCACCUGACAUAAGCAACAGCUACAGCUGCUCAGACGUGGUUGACACAGCCUCUGAAUCACUCGCUGGGCUGAGGACAGAAAACUGCGGGGCAGCAGGUAGUGGGUGUGGCAGAAGUCAACUGAAGCAGAGAAGCAGAGUUUGACAGACCCAAGGAGGGGGCAGUGCCCCCCCCCCCCCAACCCUCCUCCACGAAGAAUCGUGUAUCUAGGCUUGGUUGGAGGAUGAACAGAGUUGUCCUUGCUGCUGUUUGUGGAGGCUUUGUGUGCUUUGCAGAGUGGCGGCCCCCCGCAGCAUGCCCGAUGCCAUGGUCCUCCUGAUGCUGAGCCAGGCUAGUAUGAGAAGGAGGCUUCUGACUCAUCCAAUGACAAUGGUGGAGAGUGCCAUCAGCAGAGCGGAAAAGGGAACUCAAGAGAGAGAGAGUAAGGAGGAGUCCAUUCUGGCACUCCUGGGCAUCAUUGGGACCAUUCUCAACCUGAUCGUCAUCAUCUUCGUGUACAUCUAUACCACACUGUGAGAAGGUCUACAAUAAGUCCCUCUACAGCUCAUCAAGAUUUUGGGUUGCUCAUGGUUUUGCCCUGGUUUUUUCACCGUCAUUUGCCAAUGGCUGCCUUUAGCUAGCAGUGUAGAGUUGCAAUAACAAACCACGUUGCAAGUAAAUCUGAAACAAUUUCAUCUAUACCUUACUGUUUCCAUCUAAGAAUGCAGGGUAAACUUCCCAAACAACCGUGAACACAUUCAAAGAGAAAACACUGCAGGCAUAGUGGUCUGAUCUAGUAAAAGGUGAUCUCAGACCACUUCAGGUAGCCAUUUACAUGUUGGAGACAUGGACACUUAGACGUGACAUCUGUCAAGAAAAGAAUUCUUGAAGGGCAAAAAGUAUUUUGACAGUUGACACAAGACAAACAGGUUGGAUAAGAUUUCAGUGGGAGAUCUUAUUACUACUGACAGAGGAUUGCAGGUUAUUCAUUUUUUCUAACAACUUACCUUGAAUAUGUUGCGCAACAUUUAUAAAAAAUACUUUGAUAUUUUAAAAGUUUAUUUCAUAUGAAAAGCAAAGGAUAUUUUUGUCAUGCCAGCAUUUUGCCAUUGUUAAUGUGAUCCAAAAAAUCAGCAGGUUUUUUUUAAGUCCCUCUUCACUCUGUCCUGUUUGCAACUAAUUGAAAUGUGUGUGUGUGUGUUUAAUAUUUUAAAGCAAUUUUAUGACUGAGUGUGGAGAAAUGUGUGUAUAUUGUGCUUGAAGAUGACAUCCUGUUUGUAAUAAAAAUCCAGUGAUUAAUGUAUUGCCUUAAAAC